GCUGGGAUAGCUCAGCUGGUAGAGCACAAGACACUUAAUCUCAGGAUUGUGGGUUCAAGCCCCACAUCUGUGCA
RNAcentral lists this transfer RNA (74 nucleotides) under Podarcis lilfordi (Lilford's wall lizard). It matches the Rfam family "tRNA". Rfam says of the family: Transfer RNA (tRNA) molecules are approximately 80 nucleotides in length. Lineage: Eukaryota; Metazoa; Chordata; Lepidosauria; Squamata; Lacertidae. The record is from Rfam by way of RNAcentral.